GAUUUCUGGCGUGAUCUGCCUGGCCCGCCGCCAUUGUGUGUGCGAGUGCCGGGUCGGAUCUGCCAUCCUUCCAGAGAACGGUCCUACCCUUCACUGGGCCGGGGCCGCUAUCUGGAUCGUUUACUUUGAAAAAAUUAGAGUGUUUCAAGCAGGCGACUCGCUGUGAAUACAUUAGCAUGGAAUAAUAACUUAGGACUUCGGUUCUAUUUUGUUGGUUUCUAGGACUGAAGUAAUGAUUGAUAGGGAUAGUUGGGGGUGCUAGUAUUCAGUGGCCAGAGGUGAAAUUCUCGGAUUCACUGAAGACUAACUUAUGCGAAAGCAUU
RNAcentral lists this ribosomal RNA (323 nucleotides) under Allapsidae sp. RNAcentral's name for it is "SSU rRNA". The stretch from base 109 to 323 matches the Rfam family "Eukaryotic small subunit ribosomal RNA", at positions 740 to 955 of the family's 1831-position model. The record is from RNAcentral. RNAcentral also lists the same sequence under 1 other name. Lineage: Eukaryota; Cercozoa; Glissomonadida; Viridiraptoridae.